AAGCACACACACAUAUUUUUAAAUUUUUUAAAUUAAGCUAACAGUUCUGAAUAUGGACCCAAACUUCCCUUAACUCAUAGACACAGAACAUCUACUUACUAUACCCAUUAAGCACUAGAGAUCUAGAGAUGCUUUGCUCUCUUCCUUUCCCGUUUUUAAUUUUUCUUUUUAGAUUGGGCCUUCCUGUGCAGGGCUAUGCCUACCUCAGCCUCCGGGGUGCUAGAAUAUAGGUGUGCACCACCUUCGAAGCUGCCUUCGGCACGCGAGCCAACUACUGUCGCCUGUGGCAACCUGCCAGUUCUUUUCAGGUCCCCCUUCUGUGAGAUUCCUUCUGAGACUCACAACCCUCUAGCAGGACAUCCUAAGACUAAAGCAGUAAGCGUCUAUCACUGGAGUGAAGAACACAGAAUGAAAAAUGGUGCCGUGUGUUACUACUACAAACGGUGAAAACCGAGUAACUAACUACACGGUAUCAGAGACCCCCAGGUCUUGGACUUGGAGAAAUAGUGACAGAUCACAUUGCUACUCUGACUGAAUGAGUCAUACUUACUUGAAUUGUAAUAUGCUCUAAAACUACAAAUAAAACACUACCCAAUCACUUAA
Long non-coding RNA from Onychomys torridus (southern grasshopper mouse), 603 nucleotides. RefSeq lists it as uncharacterized. The record is from RefSeq and is a predicted model, not a curated record. NCBI's taxonomy places the organism in Eukaryota, Metazoa, Chordata, Mammalia, Rodentia, Cricetidae. The transcript has 2 exons.